Molecule: ribosomal RNA, 253 nt
Filed under: uncultured bacterium
Lineage: Bacteria
Description: partial 16S ribosomal RNA
Rfam family: Bacterial small subunit ribosomal RNA
Source: RNAcentral
UACGAAGGGUGCUAGCGUUGUUCGGAAUCACUGGGCGUAAAGCGCACGUAGGCGGAUGUGUCAGUCAGGGGUGAAAUCCCGGGGCUCAACCUCGGAACUGCCUUUGAUACAGCACGUCUCGAGUCCGGAAGAGGUGGGUGGAAUUCCUAGUGUAGAGGUGAAAUUCGUAGAUAUUAGGAAGAACACCGGUGGCGAAGGCGGCCCACUGGUCCGGUACUGACGCUGAGGUGCGAAAGCGUGGGGAGCAAACAGG